RNAcentral lists this long non-coding RNA (220 nucleotides) under Capsicum annuum. Its description in RNAcentral is "long non-coding RNA (CANN_LNC019348)". Lineage: Eukaryota; Viridiplantae; Streptophyta; Magnoliopsida; Solanales; Solanaceae. The record is from RNAcentral.
UGUACGCAGUUCAUACCUCUACCUCUAAAGAAGUAGAAAGGUUGUUUCCAAUAGACUCCCGGCUCGAGACACGGCAUACUAAACAAAUUCAUAGUAAAGCAUGGAACAAGAUGGCAUAACAUAAAUACGACACCCACAAGUAAUAGAAAACAGAGAAAAGUAAACAGAUUUGUAAUAAAGCAUGAAACAAGGUAUCAUAACAAGAAUAAAAUCCCCACCA